RNAcentral lists this long non-coding RNA (867 nucleotides) under Lathyrus oleraceus (garden pea). RNAcentral describes it as "Pisum sativum (pea) long non-coding RNA (PSAT_LNC001372)". The record is from RNAcentral. Lineage: Eukaryota; Viridiplantae; Streptophyta; Magnoliopsida; Fabales; Fabaceae.
UCUAGACCAGCUUAUAUAGGUUUCAUAAAUAGAUACACACUCUCAUUCUUUCCUUCUCUCUCCACCACAAUGUCAGAGAGAUAAAAAAAGAGUGCACAAAAUCCUUGAACCUCUUCUGCUUUUACCUUUAUUUCAACGCCAGAAAUCAUCAUCAUCAUGUCUCUCUUUUAUUGUCUUCUCUAUCAUCAUCAUUAUUCCCACAUCAUCCUCUUCUCUCUAGGUCUCAACCACCCCACAAACCUAAACCCAUCAUCAUUACUUCAACUUACAAACAAGGUUAAGAUCUCACUCCACUCUCUUUUUCAGAAACUUGUAUUGCUUCAUCAACCAAAAAAGUUAACCCUAUUAUUAUUAUUACUACAUGCACCCCCACCACCAUCACUUUCUUAUAUAGUUUCUGACUGAAGAAAGAAGGGUACAUCAGUACUUUCAUUCAUUCUCAAACUCUCUUAUGGGGAAUCAAGCAUCUUGGUCCGAUUCAUAAUUAAUUUGCUACUUCAAGCAAGUUAGUUUGACUCUACUUUUUAGCUUUUAAGUGUGUUCUUUCUUUUCUUUUUGUAAACUUUUUCUUGAUGUUGGUUAUUUUUCAUGGUAAAGUUUUUGAAUCUAGAUAUAUCUAGGGUUUAUGUGUGUAUCCAUGAAAAGUGAUGUAAACUUAAUUAUUAUGAUCUUUUGUAUGUUCUUAAUUUGAGCUAUGCUGCUAGUACUAGUUUAAUUUUCCAUCCCUGGUUUGUAUUGAACUCUCUUAAAUUAUGUAUAUUUGUUUUUAUGCGGUUUAUAUAUUUACAUAUACAUAGAUCUCAUCAAGUUUAAGAAGGUAUCUACAUCCUAAACAAAAAGAAAUUGAAGUUUUCUGUUAGAUCUAUA